RNAcentral lists this non-coding RNA (46 nucleotides) under Schistosoma mansoni. Lineage: Eukaryota; Metazoa; Platyhelminthes; Trematoda; Strigeidida; Schistosomatidae. The record is from RNAcentral.
GCACUGCUGAAGAGUCCCAUAGUCGGACGAAACGGCUGUCCAGUGC